Humulus lupulus (European hop) is the source of this 108-nucleotide small nucleolar RNA. Lineage: Eukaryota; Viridiplantae; Streptophyta; Magnoliopsida; Rosales; Cannabaceae. The record is from RefSeq and is a predicted model, not a curated record.
AUCCCAUGAUGAGGACAUUUUCUCAGCUACUCUUUGAACCUUUCUCAUGCAUCAUACAAGGAUUCUUCGUCAUUCUUAAGAAAAUUGUUUAUCUCAACCCUUGAUCUU